AAUUAGAUUAAAUUUAAUUUUAAAUCAUGUCGUUUUAAAUUUCAUUUGUUGAUUAUAUUUGAUUAUUGUUUAUUGUAGAAUUAUAUUAAAUAUAAAUAUUAAAUUACUAAAAAUAUAUAUAACAAUCAAAUAUGAGUCCGGCUGAGAUACUAUCGAUAGCACCAAAGAUUUAGUGCUAUCGAGUUUUCCACCGUUAGAUUUAACCCUUUGAUUAUUUUUAUCUAUUGUAUUAUAUUAUUCAACCAACCACCCACUGAACCCUAGGGAUUCCACAUCAUCCUAACUGCACAUUUCUCAAUCCAAAAGCUAAAAAACUUAUGCUAUUGAUAGUAUUCCAGCCUAGUUCAGGAAAUAUUAUUUAAAUAACAAAUUUCAUAGUAACUUGAGAAUUAAUUAUU
RNAcentral lists this long non-coding RNA (398 nucleotides) under Ananas comosus (pineapple). RNAcentral describes it as "long non-coding RNA (ACOM_LNC034658)". Lineage: Eukaryota; Viridiplantae; Streptophyta; Magnoliopsida; Poales; Bromeliaceae. The record is from RNAcentral.